ACCCGUUCACUGUUCCUCUUGCCACUGCUCACUGACCGUUUCACGCUAUUUUCCCAUUUGCAAAGCAGGAAAAUUAGCUCUACCUUAAAUGGGUGCUUCUGGGCACAGAAUGUUUAAUGGGCUCGUUUUCUUGUCUUUUAGGGUUGUUUAAGCCUGAGGUUAAAACAGCAUGGUGAUAAAGUCCACUAAUGUAUGAAAGGGAUUUGAAAGUUAAGUCUUCUAUAGAAGAUAAGCUAACAUGGGUCUCAGUCACGGCUGUGUAUCAGGAAGUAAAACCAGGCGAGCCUUGACCUUUAAAAGGAAGCACUACCCCUUUGUCCAAGUGCCUUAUAACAUGUCUUUAUAACUGGCUGUGUGAGAAUGAAGAAAAGCUGUCCAUCUUCUGAGAAGCCCACUUCUCCACCAAGGUGCUCAGUUUUAGGAGUGGAGAACAGGGGUCACGGAAAAUACAUUGCUCCCCAGCUCCCAGCUCUCUUUGCUUUCUCCCAGGAAGCAGCAUGUGCCAUCCUUCUGUCAGAAAACACCGCAGAGAUGAAGAAAUGAGAACUCCAGAAACCAAAGACCUUGCUCUUUUGUCAAACAGACUUGGUAGAGCAGAGUUGCAAAAUCAGACCUUCGGGGCUUGCGUGUUUCUCCUCUUACUCCCUGGUUGCUUCCCUGGAAGAUGGAGCUCCAUUCAAAAACUGCUACACAGAACCAGGCUGAGCAAGCCCAGGCCUUUCCUGUUGAGCAGCAGCAGAACUCUGAGCAGUUGGCUCUCCAUUGGUCCCUUCUGCAUGGCAGACUUACCUCUAGAAUAAUGUUCUUUUGAUAAAGAUAAAAGCUUGUUCCAAAGGCUUCUGUCCAUUCUUUUACAAAUUCAUUCAUUCGUCAAAUACUAACUGAUGUCACCAAAUGUAGGAACUAGAGAAGAAAAAUGAAUAGGCCACAGAGAUUCUUGUCAGAUGGAAAGGCCAAAAUAGAGAGAUGGUUAAAAUUCCACGUAGGACAAGUAUCAUGAUAGAGCAUCAUUAAUGAGACUGCUAAAAUUUAG
Molecule: long non-coding RNA, 1033 nt
Filed under: Mus spicilegus (steppe mouse)
Lineage: Eukaryota; Metazoa; Chordata; Mammalia; Rodentia; Muridae
Description: lncRNA (ENSMSIG00000002256.1)
Source: RNAcentral